AACGAACGCUGGCGGCAUGCCUAACACAUGCAAGUCGAACGAGACCUUCGGGUCUAGUGGCGCACGGGUGCGUAACGCGUGGGAACCUGCCCUUAGGUUCGGAAUCACUCCCCGAAAGGGGUGCUAAUACCGGAUAAUGUCUUCGGACCAAAGAUUUAUCGACUUUGGAUGGGCCCGCGCUGGAUUAGCUAGUUGGUAGGGUAAAAGCCUACCAAGGCGACGAUCCAUAGCUGGUCUGAGAGGAUGAUCAGCCACACUGGGACUGAGACACGGCCCAGACUCCUACGGGAGGCAGCAGUGGGGAAUAUAGGACAAUGGGCGAAAGCCUGAUCCAGCAAUGCCGCGUGAGUGAUGAAGGCCUUAGGGUUGUAAAGCGCUUUUACCCGGGAUGAUAAUGACAGUACCGGGAGAAUAAGCACCGGCUAACUCCGUG
RNAcentral lists this ribosomal RNA (433 nucleotides) under uncultured bacterium. RNAcentral describes it as "partial 16S ribosomal RNA". It matches the Rfam family "Bacterial small subunit ribosomal RNA", at positions 29 to 507 of the family's 1533-position model. The record is from RNAcentral.